UGGGGGGGCCGAGGGACUGGGGGGAAGAAGGGGGACGGCGAUGUCCCCGCGCUUUCCCCCUUUCUGCUGCGGAUGGUGCUCAGUGGGGAGGAAUCUGUAUGGGGGUGGUCGCUUUGCCCUCCAUCCCUCCCAUGCCGCCCCUUCCCCUGUGCUGCUGCAGAUCCCGGGACUGGGGACCCCCCCCCCGCCCCGGGGCAUGCCGGGACCCAGAUGGUCACUUUCUCUGUCGGGCACCGGUUGCGGUUGCGGGAGAAGGGCGGUGGCGUUAGGGCUUCCUCUCCUGCUCCUCCUCUCCCUUUGCCCGUGUGGACAGUACGAAGGGGCAAAAGACCGAAGCCGGGGUUUGGGGUGGGGGGCAGCGGGGCUCAGAUGUUUUCCUGCCCUUCUCUUGCAGAGGGGAUCCCUGCUCUAUCCUCAGGAGCCACAGGCCGAGGGUGGAAUAUGUUGAAAAAGGAGCUAAGCUGGGAGAGAGGAAGGAAUAGGGAGGGGGCCGAGAUUUUUCUCCCCCCUCUUACCCUUUCCCCUGUUCCCCGCCCCCCCCUCCCCCUAUUCCGUUCGGCUCCUGCUGGUGCUGAGGAGAGAGGAACGUGGGAAGGGCUGGGAUGGCGGCGUGGCUCCCCCUUUCCCCCGACUGCCGCAGGCAGGAGGAGGGGGGUUAACGGGCCGGGCCAGCCCGGAGCCCCCUUUCUCCGGCCGGUCGCUGUUGCUCCCCGAGGGAGGCGCGGGGCCGCGGGCUGCCCAAAGGGCUCGGAAUCGGGGGCCUGAGCUUGCUUCCCGCUCGCCGGUUGGGUGGCCCUGGGUCAGCCUCUGCAGACUAGGGGACCUUCCCGCCAGGGCCGUGAGGAGGUUCCAGUGGGCAGCACUCCCAGGAUGCCCAGACCCGGCGCCCGCGCCCCCCUCCCAGCCCCCACUAGCCUAGGGUCCGUACCCUGCUAGAGCGGGGGGGGGGGGAGGGAAAGGGGGGAAGGGGAGUAAGCGUGGGGCGCGCAGGCCUAUGGGGCCCGGCAGCCAGGCCUUUCCCGUCCUGCCUCGCCGCUGAGGCCAGUGAGCUCAGGCCCAGCUCCGUUGGGGGAGGGGCCCAUCCCACGACCCCCCUUCGUUCUGGGGCCCAGGCUGAGCCGCGGAGCUGCUUGGGAGGACGGGCCCCGGGCCCCCGGAGCUUCUGAGUCUUUGUGAGGGGGAGGACCCCGCGGCUCAGGCCGAGAAGGGGGGGGGGGGGACGCUGGUGGAGGGCGGAGUCAGCAGGUCGGAGCCGGACUGGGCCCGCAGCCUGGCGAGGAGCUUUCUCGCCUGCCUCUCCUCGUUCCCUCCCGCCAUGGUCCUCACGGGCUGGGGCUCCCAUCUGCCAGUCUGCAAGGGAGAGCCGGGGGCGGGGGCCGUGGCUGCCGGGGUGCUCUUUGUCCCCCUUGGGACUGGGGGGGCGCUGGGGUGUGAGGGCAGAAGACUAGGGAGUGGCCGGGGAGGGCCCUUUGUCCCGGGCCCUAAUCCCUCCUCUCCCUCCCCUUCCCCUGUGCUGCCCGGGGCAGAGAGGAGGCGGCAGCGCAGGCCACUGCCCAGCCCCCUUAAAUGCGCUCUGGGGCCCCCUCUGAGAGUCUGCUUCUGGAGGCCAGGGUCUCUCCCUCUCUGACCUUUGGGGCUGCCCCUCAGCCCGCUGCCCAGCGCCUUGCCCGGGAAGAGGCCUUGAGGAGUGCUGGCCAGUGGAUUGGAUUGGAUCUGGGAUGUCCCGGCUGGCUUUCUGGAGGUCCUUCGUGCGGGCCUUGGUCUCGGCAGGAUGGACACCACGAGAACGUCAAGAAUGGAGUCUAGUUUUUAUUCUGGCCCAGCCUUAAUCUUAGUGCAGGAGGCAGGAGAGCCCCGAGAGGCAGCUCAACGAGAGAAUGUCCGUCGUCCAGUCCUUGUUGGCCCUUCUGUACCUUAUUGUAGUUCUAUCUUUACAGCGCACUGAAUAUGCGGGAACUAGAGAAGCAUCCUCUCAUCAGUUCCACUGAGUUAACACCUUGUUUCAAGUAGACUUCUCCAGAGUUGCCGCCCUCUACAUGAUCCAUGGCACUCCAGACCCGCUGGGUUAUUCGAGGAGCCUGGAGGCUUCCUGCUCCCGGCCACCUUUGGGGUGCCGGCGGCUGUCUAAGGAGGGCCACACUUUGAAGGGAAAUCUCCAUGACUGAGCGGCACUGGAUCGCUUGCUCAGCCUCGUGGGAACAAAAGCCUGGAAGGCCCAGGAUCAGAUGCCCAGUAGUGGGGGCCAGCCCAAGCAACUGGUGAUUUCAUGUGAAGGCAUCUCCUUUCCCAGGAAGAACCGAUGCUGCUGCAGGAUUCGGGGAAGCUCAGGAAGACUUGUUUAAAGGAAUGGUGGUCCAAGAGAACCACUGCUAGAGAGGCAAGAGAAUGUAAAGCCGGAAUAGGGAAUCUUUUUUCUGCCCAGGGCUCUCUGGAUAUUUAGAACAUCAUUUGAGGGCCAGCUUAAAACCUGAAGUGAUGGGAGGUUGUGGUGCCUCGCUUUCAGCUCUUCAAGGCCUGCGGGGCCAGACCAAAUGGUUCUGUGGGCCUUAUGCAGCUCCCAAGCCAUUUGUUCCCUCCCCUGAUGUAAAGGGACACAGACGCUGAAAGACAUGGGGACUCGUCAAUGAGAUGAUGCAAACUGAGUCCAGGGGGGCUGCUGAGGAGCCUUGGCUCCCUCCUUUGCUGGACUGGAGGUGCAGAAGGAGGCACAGUGUUUGGACUGUUCUCCUCCAUUAAAACCCAACUCCUCUUGUC
Antechinus flavipes (yellow-footed antechinus) is the source of this 2754-nucleotide long non-coding RNA. RefSeq lists it as uncharacterized. NCBI's taxonomy places the organism in Eukaryota, Metazoa, Chordata, Mammalia, Dasyuromorphia, Dasyuridae. The record is from RefSeq and is a predicted model, not a curated record. The transcript has 2 exons.